GCGCAUUCCUAAUUGAACCACAAUAUUAUUCUAUAUGCAAUUCACCAGUUUCAGACACAGGUUGCCAUUAGUUGUUUUCAUACACAGAUUCAUAUAGAACUCACCUGGAAAUACAUAUCACCUUAUCAGGAAGAUUAGAAAAUUUAGCAUGAGAAAUUCUAUUCUUGCCAUUAAAUUACAAUUCUGGUUAGGCAAACCGUUGCUGGAAAUCACAUUUCAAAAAAUCCUCAAGCAACCAAAUUAGCUUUACAUGACAUAUGAGGCAGACAACACUUAUUCUUUACCCAUCAAGAGAUGAAAUAACUACAAUUCUAUUUCCAACUUCAAACAUUUUAACCUCUAUUCGUUUCCAAAGAAAAAGAUAAAACAGAAAAGGCAGUACCUUCACUGAGAUCAGCAAGAAAA
RNAcentral lists this unclassified non-coding RNA (405 nucleotides) under Hevea brasiliensis (rubber tree). The record is from RNAcentral. Lineage: Eukaryota; Viridiplantae; Streptophyta; Magnoliopsida; Malpighiales; Euphorbiaceae.